UUAAGAUGUAUUCCGAGUUGCGAGCUUUACUUCUGCUCAGUAUCUUGGCUAUUUGCAUUCAUUUGGCCGUGAACCAAGACGAAAAUGAAGUCAUAACUGAAAGCGAACUCAAACACACGACGCCAGACGAUUCACAAUACUAAAAUCUAACUUUCGGCCAUCAACAGAGACUACGAAUCAUAAUACUAUGCGGAAAGCUACAAUCGUAGGUUGGCUAAUAAAAUGA
Drosophila navojoa is the source of this 226-nucleotide long non-coding RNA. RefSeq lists it as uncharacterized. Lineage: Eukaryota; Metazoa; Arthropoda; Insecta; Diptera; Drosophilidae. The record is from RefSeq and is a predicted model, not a curated record.